GAUGAACGCUGACAGAAUGCUUAACACAUGCAAGUCAACUUGAAUUUGGGUUUUUAACUUAGGUUUGGGUGGCGGACGGGUGAGUAACGCGAAAAGAACUUGCCUCACAGCUAGGGACAACAUUUGGAAACGAAUGCUAAUACCUAAUAUUAUGAUAAUAGGGCAUCCUAUAAUUAUGAAAGCUAUAAGCGCUGUGAGAGAGCUUUGCGUCCCAUUAGCUAGUUGGAGAGGUAACGGCUCACCAAGGCGAUGAUGGGUAGCCGGCCUGAGAGGGUGAUCGGCCACAAGGGGACUGAGACACGGCCCUUACUCCUACGGGAGGCAGCAGUGGGGAAUAUUGGACAAUGGACCGAGAGUCUGAUCCAGCAAUUCUGUGUGCACGAUGAAGUUUUUCGGAAUGUAAAGUGCUUUCAGUUGGGAAGAAACAAAUGACGGUACCAACAGAAGAAGUGACGGCUAAAUACGUG
RNAcentral lists this ribosomal RNA (467 nucleotides) under uncultured bacterium. Its description in RNAcentral is "partial 16S ribosomal RNA". It matches the Rfam family "Bacterial small subunit ribosomal RNA", at positions 28 to 507 of the family's 1533-position model. The record is from RNAcentral.